Molecule: long non-coding RNA, 3940 nt
Organism: Anolis carolinensis (green anole)
Lineage: Eukaryota; Metazoa; Chordata; Lepidosauria; Squamata; Anolidae
Exons: 4
Source: RefSeq, a predicted model, not a curated record
AUAUGGUGCAAUGGAUUGGCAAACUGGUGCUAGCUACAGAAGAUGUAAUAUUGAUGUUGAUCAACAGGGUAUGAAUCCACCAUCUAUGCUAAUGCAACUGUAGCGGAAUGGUGAGUUAAUGCGAUAAAAUCCUUAGUCUCAGAAAGCUUCAAUAAUUAUUCUCUUAGGUUACAACUUUCAAUAUCCCUAGACUGGUACAGGGCAUGGCAUAUUAUCUGGGUCAUAAUCUAAAAAACUUGUAGAUAAUGUUCUCCACAGCAUCAAGCAAGCAACAGGCUUUAUCUCUGGUCUGCAGCAUCACCAGUCUCUCAUGUCUGGGGAAACAGAAAGGAGCACAGUCUGGGUAGGAAGCUGACGGGUUGGUGGCAGAAACCCCCAGGCUGUGUGACAGAGAGAUACCCUACAGUGCUCAGCAAUUAUUGUUUGUGUUAUAAUUUCCUUGUCUAUAAAUUCUGCAUAUGUACUCACAUUAAAAACACUCUAUAUAUUAGCAAGAACUAUGAUGUGGGGAUGCCCUCAGGCAAGAAAUUCAGCACAAGGCAUAUCUGAAAAGACACUCAUUGCCCCAUCUACCCUGCUUACUCCUGAAAUCAUGAAUUCAAGUUCCAAAAUGAAUGUGUGAAUAAAAUGAAAGUCCUUCCAUCUCAAAUAGCUUGACAUGAUUCUCUUCCUUCUCAUAAAAUUAAAUCAUUUUUCAGUGACUGCUGUUAAUGGAAUUAAAACUUGCUUAAACACACUUUUUCAAAAACAGUUCUGUGUCGUGACACCUCUGUGCUUCAGCCACCCCUGCAAUUGGUGCAAAUUGUUCUAGCUAUUAUUCUGAGUGGGAGCUUUUUCUCUCUCGCUUCCUUUCUCCUUGUCUCCCCUCUCUUUUCCAACCUGUUCCUUACCCAAACCGAUGUACUCACCCUUUCUCCUUUGUCACAACAAAUGCAGCUGGCAUAAGGACACCCAGUGAGCUUUAUGACUUUGUAGAGAUCUGAAUAAGGUUCCUUCGGUCCUAGAACAACUCACCAACCAGAUUUCUAUUUUCAUGGGUGGUCCUGUGCCCCUAACUCUAGCUGGAGUGCUGACUGUAUUGGCCAUACCCUAUCUGGGAAAUAGAAAGAAACUGAAAUAGAGAAAAAUGUAUAACAGGACUGCAUUUUCUUCAAGGACUAGAACUUCAAGAGUCCAGGUUUUCGAUCUCUGCUCACCCUGUUGGACCUUGCACAAGUCACAUUUCUCAUCCUCAGAGGAAGCCAGUAGCAAACAUCCUCUUCAUAAAUAAGACCAAGAAAACUUGAAAACAGGUGAAGAUCAACGUCCAGUCUAACAAGAGAAGAAAAAUCUGCAUAACUAUGACAUAGAACAAACACAAUCUACCUGCUUUUAUUUUCCUUCUGAAUAUUGGGUUGGCAUGCAAAAUCUCAAUAUAAAAUCAAAGAGAAUGGCUGAGCCUAGGAAAGGUAUUUGCUGUGCGCAGCAGUUUACAAGCAGCGGACACAAUCUCCUCCACAACAUGUCACAGCUGUCAAUAAGAAUCAGAUCUGAGGGCUGUAGAAACCUGAAGAGAAUAAUUAAUUAUUUGGAAGGAUCACCUUGCAUGAUUACAGGCACUAUUUAGCUCAGACGUCCCCAAUGCCAUGGCCUCUUUAAAUCCUGGUUGUUGAGUAAUGGCAGCUAUAGUCAAACACAUCUGGAGACCACUAGUGAUCCACUCACAUUGAGAGGGGAAAGUAUGGGUGACCGUCCCGUUAAAGGAGAGAAUCGCCCCAUUUGGAGUUCUGCUUCCCCAUCACACUCACACAUGGAGUUGGCAAUACAUUCAUCUUACAUUCAUCACAAGGUCAGUAUUACUUUUUUAAAAUCAGUGGAAACAACAAUAUCCAAAAGCCAAGAGCUCCCUUGCUCUGCCAAAGCUCCUUACAUUAAAGGAGACUGACACUAGUUUAAAACCACUUUUUCCAUGGGAUCCUAUUGUUCUGCCCCAAACCCCAUAGGCAGGACCAGCCCGAGGAAAUUUAAAAGGGUACGCAAAGUUUUUUUGCGCCCCUCCCCCGCGCUGCGGGAGGCGCAGCCAGGACUGGCCCUGCCUCCUGCGCCCUAACCCCGCCUCCCUCGCCAGGCGGCCAUGCCUCCUGCAGCGUGGGCAGCGUGGGAGGCAGGGCCAGGGUGCGCGGCGCGGGAGGCGGGGCCACGUCUGGCCCCACCUCCCGCAGCGCGCGUCCUGGCUCAGCCAGGCUGGGGCAGGAGUUCAAAGCCUUUUAGGGGUUGUUUGAAAAUCCUCUCUUCCUGUCAAAAGCAGGCAGCCCUUGUAUUUGAACAGCUGCUUUGAACGGGGGGGGGGGGGGGGGUAAGGAGAAGAAGGGGUGAGCUGAAAAAAGAAAAGAAUAGAAACGCUUGGAGAGGGAGAUAGAGAAGAAAAGGAGAGCGAGAAGGGAAACCUUUAGUGGUUUCUCUGCCCAAGACACCGCCCCACCAAGCUGCUUCUCUGUGGGAAAGGAAAGCUCUGGGGACCUCGAAUCCAUCAUGGUCAGCCGGGCGGGAAGAGACACAUGCAGGACUCACACACGUGGGGCUCGCCCACGCAGCGCCCUGGACCCGAAGCCCUUCCAAGACCCGGUUGGAGCGGGGGACCGGUGCCGGUUCCUCAGACCGCCCUCGCCUCUCCCCUCCGCCGCCUCCUUCUUCUCCUCUUCCUGCGUGGCUCCCAAGUUUCCUCCAUGGAGAACAAGCCAGCCAAACCUGGCCACGCCCCCUGCGUCGCGCAACCCCGUCUCCCAGCCAGACUGCGCCAGGGCGCGCCCGUGGGAGGUGGGGCCAGACUUGGCCCCGCCUCCCACGUCGCGCGGCCCCGCCUCCGCCAGGUGUGGCCCCGCCUCCCAGGGGCUCAAUAGUGCCCCUGGGAAGGUGGCGCCCAAUGCGGGGGCGUGGUCAGCGUGCUGUGUUGGGCCGGGCCUGCCCAUAGGAUACAAGAGACAGUGAUCCAGGUUAAAACCAUUUCUUUCCAUGGGAUCCUAUUGUUCUGCAUCAAACUCCAUAUGAUACAAGAGUCUGCUGAUGGUUGGGCAAUGAAACAGGAUGGGAAACUUUGGUGGUUCCCAUCACACCUGUUUUUCAGUUGUAAAGUAUGGUAAGAAGUAGGGCAUCUGAACAUGAUUGCUGGCCCGUGUUCAGAGUUCCCUCUUUUCAUGAUAUUAUUAUCAUUACUUAUCAUUACUGUGUUUUUAUCUUAUUCUCUCCCCUUAACAUAUACAGACACUGCUCUUGCUCAGAAAAUGAUGUUGUUUUGCCAAACAGAUUUAUCAGUCCUCUGAAAGGUUGAUGUCUUAGGGAGGAGUUAAAGGAUUUUUUUAACAUGAUGCCCAACCCUAAACUGCAAGGCAAAGCCAUGUGAAGGACACCCUGUGGGGUGUUGUGGGAAUUGGCUGGUUUAAGCCUUCCCUGCUUCACGUGUUGAGGGGCAGAUAGACCUAUAUAUAUAGGGUCUGCCCCUCACAACAGCCUCCUUUUUCUUUCCUGUGACCCACUCUCCAACCCUCAGGAUAGUGUGAGUUUACAACUGGUUGAGUCAGGGUCAGGUAGGAAUUUUUUCCCUUCACAUUUGCUCGGGGGGGGGGUGCCUACCCAACACUGUUUCUGUUGGAUGUGGGAGGGCUGGGAAAGGGGCUACCUUUGAGGAUAGAAUGGCGGUUUCUCACUUAUAAAAACCUGUAGUUUGGGAGGGAGCACCUCCAGAAUGGCAUUCCUGUUAAGACCGCCACGGUGAGCAACCAAAAUAGUUUGGCUUGCCCUUGUGGUUGAGGUGUUGACCCAGAGUAGUUUGUGGAGGUUAUCAUAGAAUUGACAUCUGUCCCUCAACUAGACCCAUCAGGUGAUUUAACCCCUUUUUUCCUUGCAUGUUGCAAAAGUUUAACCAAUAAAUAAACCGGUCAAAUAAUGGCCCCUUUAUACCAUG